RNAcentral lists this ribosomal RNA (476 nucleotides) under uncultured organism. RNAcentral's name for it is "partial 16S ribosomal RNA". It matches the Rfam family "Bacterial small subunit ribosomal RNA", at positions 333 to 800 of the family's 1533-position model. The record is from RNAcentral.
ACACUCCUGCGGGAGGCAGCAGUGGGGAAUUUUGGACAAUGGGCGAAAGCCUGAUCCAGCAAUGCCGCGUGUGUGAAGAAGGCCUUCGGGUUGUAAAGCACUUUUGUCCGGAAAGAAAUCCUUGGCUCUAAUACAGUCGAGGGAUGACGGUACCGGAAGAAUAAGCACCGGCUAACUACGUGCCAGCAGCCGCGGUAAUACGUAGGGUGCGAGCGUUAAUCGGAAUUACUGGGCGUAAAGCGUGCGCAGGCGGUUUGCUAAGACCGAUGUGAAAUCCCCGGGCUCAACCUGGGAACUGCAUUGGUGACUGGCAGGCUAUAGUAUGGCAGAGGGGGGUAGAAUUCCACGUGUAGCAGUGAAAUGCGUAGAGAUGUGGAGGAAUACCGAUGGCGAAGGCAGCCCCCUGGGCCAAUACUGACGCUCAUGCACGAAAGCGUGGGGAGCAAACAGGAGUAGAUACCCCGGUAGUCCCAUGA